RNAcentral lists this transfer RNA (77 nucleotides) under Vreelandella aquamarina. RNAcentral's name for it is "tRNA-Val". It matches the Rfam family "tRNA". From Rfam's summary of the family: Transfer RNA (tRNA) molecules are approximately 80 nucleotides in length. Their secondary structure includes four short double-helical elements and three loops (D, anti-codon, and T loops). RNAcentral also lists the same sequence under 5 other names. The record is from RNAcentral. Lineage: Bacteria; Pseudomonadati; Pseudomonadota; Gammaproteobacteria; Oceanospirillales; Halomonadaceae.
AGGGCCAUAGCUCAGUUGGUUAGAGCGCCACGUUGACAUCGUGGAGGUUGGCGGUUCAAAUCCACCUAGUCCUACCA